GCCUUGCCAGCCCGCUCAGAAACUUAAAGGAAAGUUGACGGGGGCCCGGCACAAGCGGUGGAGUAUGUGGUUUAAUUCGAUGCAACGCGAAGAACCUUACCUGGUCUUGACAUCCCGGAGACCCUUAGGAAACUAGGGGGUGCUUCCAUCUGGAAGAAUCUGGAGACAGGUGCUGCAUGGCUGUCGUCAGCUCGUGUCGUGAGAUGUUGGGUUAAGUCCCGCAACGAGCGCAACCCUUGCCUUUAGUUGCCAGCAGUUCGGCUGGGCACUCUAAAGGGACUGCCGGUGUUAAACCGGAGGAAGGUGGGGAUGACGUCAAGUCCUCAUGGCCUUUAUGACCAGGGCUACACACGUACUACAAUGGCCGAUACAAAGGGCAGCGACACUGCGAGGUGAAGCCAAUCCCGUAAAAUCGGUCUCAGUCCGGAUUGGAGUCUGCAACUCGACUCCAUGAAGUUGGAAUCGCUAGUAAUCGUGGAUCAGCAUGCCACGGUGAAUACGUUCCCGGGCCUU
This 513-nucleotide ribosomal RNA is filed under the name uncultured Desulfobulbus sp. RNAcentral describes it as "bacterial SSU rRNA". It matches the Rfam family "Bacterial small subunit ribosomal RNA", at positions 903 to 1382 of the family's 1533-position model. The record is from RNAcentral. Lineage: Bacteria; Pseudomonadati; Thermodesulfobacteriota; Desulfobulbia; Desulfobulbales; Desulfobulbaceae.